GACGAACGCUGGCUGCGUGCUUAACACAUGCAAGUCGAACGGAAAGGCCCUGCUUUUGUGGGGUGCUCGAGUGGCGAACGGGUGAGUAACACGUGAGUAACCUGCCCUUGACUUUGGGAUAACUUCAGGAAACUGGGGCUAAUACCGGAUAGGAGCUCCUGCUGCAUGGUGGGGUUGGAAAGUUUCGGCGGUUGGGGAUGGACUCGCGGCUUAUCAGCUUGUUGGUGGGGUAGUGGCUUACCAAGGCUUUGACGGGUAGCCGGCCUGAGAGGGUGACCGGCCACAUUGGGACUGAGAUACGGCCCAGACUCCUACGGGAGGCAGCAGUGGGGAAUAUUGCACAAUGGGCGGAAGCCUGAUGCAGCAACGCCGCGUGCGGGAUGACGGCCUUCGGGUUGUAAACCGCUUUCGCCUGUGACGAAGCGUGAGUGACGGUAAUGGGUAAAGAAGCACCGGCUAACUACGUG
This 467-nucleotide ribosomal RNA is filed under the name uncultured bacterium. Its description in RNAcentral is "partial 16S ribosomal RNA". It matches the Rfam family "Bacterial small subunit ribosomal RNA", at positions 28 to 507 of the family's 1533-position model. The record is from RNAcentral.